This 94-nucleotide small nuclear RNA is filed under the name Vulpes vulpes (red fox). The record is from RNAcentral. Lineage: Eukaryota; Metazoa; Chordata; Mammalia; Carnivora; Canidae.
CUGUUUAGCACAAGUACUAAAAUUAGAAUGAUAUAGAUUAACAAGGCUCCUGCACAAGCAUGACAUGCAAAUUUGUGAAGUGUUCCAUAUUUUU